Molecule: RNase P RNA, 377 nt
Filed under: Peptococcaceae bacterium
Lineage: Bacteria; Bacillati; Bacillota; Clostridia; Eubacteriales; Peptococcaceae
Description: RNase P RNA component class A
Rfam family: Bacterial RNase P class A
About the family: Ribonuclease P (RNase P) is a ubiquitous endoribonuclease, found in archaea, bacteria and eukarya as well as chloroplasts and mitochondria.
Source: RNAcentral
UGAGUAUGCCGGGCGACCGCGGGCCCAAUCGCCGAAAGGCCGGGCCUGAGGAAAGUCCGAGCUCCGCAGGGCAGGGUGCUGGGUAACACCCAGUGGAGGCGACUCCAAGGAAAGUGCCACAGAGACAUACCGCCGAUGGCCGUAUUUUGCGGCACAGGCAAGGGUGGAAAGGCGAGGUAAGAGCUCACCAGCAGCCAGGUGACUGGCUGGCUCGGUAAACCCCACCUGGAGCAAGACCGAAUAGGGGAGCUGUGGAACGGCCCGUUCCGCUCCCGGGUUAGGUCGCUAGAGGUGCCGGGUAACCGGCAUCCCAGAUAAAUGGUCGCCGCCCCUCAAACGAGGGGGCACAGAACUCGGCUUACAGGCAUACUCAUGCG